This 253-nucleotide ribosomal RNA is filed under the name uncultured bacterium. RNAcentral's name for it is "partial 16S ribosomal RNA". It matches the Rfam family "Bacterial small subunit ribosomal RNA", at positions 524 to 776 of the family's 1533-position model. The record is from RNAcentral.
UACGUAGGGUGCAAGCGUUGUCCGGAAUUAUUGGGCGUAAAGAGCUCGUAGGCGGUCUGUCGCGUCGGCUGUGAAAACCCGGGGCUCAACCCCGGGCCUGCAGUCGAUACGGGCAGACUAGAGUGCGGUAGGGGAGACUGGAAUUCCUGGUGUAGCGGUGGAAUGCGCAGAUAUCAGGAGGAACACCGGUGGCGAAGGCGGGUCUCUGGGCAGUAACUGACGCUGAGGAGCGAAAGCGUGGGGAGCGAACAGG